CCUACGGGUGGCUGCAGUGGGGAAUAUUGGACAAUGGGCGAAAGCCUGAUCCAGCCAUGCCGCGUGUGUGAAGAAGGCCUUCGGGUUGUAAAGCACUUUCAGUGGGGAAGAAAGCCUUGGGGCUAAUACCCUCGAGGAAGGACAUCACCCACAGAAGAAGCACCGGCUAACUCCGUGCCAGCAGCCGCGGUAAUACGGAGGGUGCGAGCGUUAAUCGGUAUUACUGGGCGUAAAGCGCGCGUAGGCGGUCUGAUAAGCCGGUUGUGAAAGCCCCGGGCUCAACCUGGGAACGGCAUCCGGAACUGUCAGGCUAGAGUGCAGGAGAGGAAGGUAGAAUUCCCGGUGUAGCGGUGAAAUGCGUAGAGAUCGGGAGGAAUACCAGUGGCGAAGGCGGCCUUCUGGACCGACACUGACGCUGAGGUGCGAAAGCGUGGGUAGCAAACAGGAUUAGAUACCCGGGUAGUC
This 465-nucleotide ribosomal RNA is filed under the name Vreelandella stevensii. RNAcentral's name for it is "partial 16S ribosomal RNA". It matches the Rfam family "Bacterial small subunit ribosomal RNA", at positions 338 to 795 of the family's 1533-position model. Lineage: Bacteria; Pseudomonadati; Pseudomonadota; Gammaproteobacteria; Oceanospirillales; Halomonadaceae. The record is from RNAcentral.